CAGAUUGGAAGCGAAAAGACGUACUUCGUCAAGAAGAUUAAACAGUGUAAAAACGAAGUCUAAAGUUAAAAUAAGUAAUAAAAAUAAUAGAAAGCGUAUUGAAGCAGACGUGCGAGUGGAAAAGUAUUGUAAAAUCUAAGUAGUGAAAGAUAUUGAAACAGCCUCGUGGCAGGGGUGCUGCCGCAAGCGCUGGUCCGCUUUUCACCAAUCUCUUGGUGCAUAUAUAUUGGCUCGAAACAAGGGUAGUAAAUCUACUCCAAGGAGAUUUCGGAACCGUGCUCCAGUGCCACAUUCGAGACUGCUCGUUGAUGAUCAUCAAAUGUGUCUGGCGUUAAGUGACUUAUAUAAAUGGAUACCAAAGUCACAAGUUUAUUCAGAUCCACAAGAAAUUAUGACUUAAAAUCUGUGUUGCGUAGUGCAACAAUGAUACCCAUACAAUAAUACACCUACACACACCCACCAACAUCGACGUCAUAUUGGGCCCAAGUGCACGCAACGAUGGAAGUAUGAGUGAGUUAAUAUAGAGUAGUGAGGACUAUUUUUUUUGUAUAUCUGUUGUAUAUAUAUAUAUUUACGAUUGACAUUGCAUUGAUCUCGAACCUAUUGCCAACGUGAGCGUAAGAUAACAGUUUUCUUCAGUAAGUUAUGUUGGAAAACUGAAGUUAUUUUGUUGAA
Molecule: long non-coding RNA, 675 nt
Organism: Drosophila montana
Lineage: Eukaryota; Metazoa; Arthropoda; Insecta; Diptera; Drosophilidae
Exons: 3
Source: RefSeq, a predicted model, not a curated record